RNAcentral lists this ribosomal RNA (254 nucleotides) under uncultured bacterium. RNAcentral describes it as "partial 16S ribosomal RNA". It matches the Rfam family "Bacterial small subunit ribosomal RNA", at positions 524 to 776 of the family's 1533-position model. The record is from RNAcentral.
UACGUAGGGGGCGAGCGUUGUCCGGAUUUAUUGGGCGUAAAGAGCUCGUAGGCGGUUCGAUAAGUCGGACGUGAAAUCUCCACGCUCAACGUGGAGGGGCCGUUCGAUACUGUCGUGACUCGAGUCCGGUAGGGGAGUGUGGAAUUCCCGGUGUAGCGGUGAAAUGCGUAGAGAUCAGGAGGAACACCCGUGGCGAAGGCGGCCCCCUGGGUCGGCCCUGACGCUGAGGCACGAAAGCGUGGGGAGCAAACAGG